This is a long non-coding RNA of Hippocampus zosterae (dwarf seahorse), 2445 nucleotides long. RefSeq lists it as uncharacterized. NCBI's taxonomy places the organism in Eukaryota, Metazoa, Chordata, Actinopteri, Syngnathiformes, Syngnathidae. The transcript is spliced from 3 exons. The record is from RefSeq and is a predicted model, not a curated record.
UGUGUGUGUGUGUGUGUGUACGUGUGUGUGUGUGUGUGCGUGUGUGUGUGUGUGUGCCAAGCAACUCCCCGGAAAUGCACAAAUAAACAAAUGGAGCGAAACUAGGAUGCAGCACAGCAGCACACUUUUGGAGCGAGGAGGAAACUGACUACUUUCUUCAUGUGGUGUGUGACAUGAAUGCAAUGUGCUUUAUUGAUGGUAGAAAGUGACAAGCGGAAAUGAUGUCACUUUUGCCUCAUGAUGUGAGCCAUACUUCACGAUUUUUAGCGGACGACUCACCAUUCCACAUAGAUGGGAAUAACUGUCCACUCGCACACGUAAACCAGUGAUUCUGAAUGCUUCGGAAACCAGAAUUUUGACCUUAACCCAAAUAUUGACUGCAUUUAAACGUAGUCACUAAAACGUGUUUUUGUGUGGACGGAGACAACAUAAAAGCAAACUAAUGAGGAACACCUGCACAAGACACGGGUGGCUGUGGUAGCUGAUUGGUUGACACAGGGGACCAGGUUGACAACUCGUGGAAAAGAAAAAAAAAUGAACGAGAAAGACACGCACCACAAGAAGACAUUACAUGAAACAAAACAAACUGCAAUCUAAACAAAAACACAGAUCACGACGAGAAGCAUCUUAUUUAGAAUGACUGCUUUGAACAGCACCCUUUAUUCACUUAUUUAACGUGCGGCAGCUGUCUUUGUCUUUAUUCUUCUGUCCUAUAAUUGAGCGUGACUGUUACCGCCGUGUUUCAGCCCAGUGGGCUUUGUGUAGGACUGUGCAUGUUCCUUCUAUGUUGACUACAUAUUAAAGGUCACGAGACCCUCUUUGAGGAGAGAACAUGAUCUGCUUGGCAGUUUUGUAUCAUCAUAAUAAGCUUUGUGAUCAUUCAAGGCUUUUCACACACUGUGCUUCAAGCUUGCUUCCCAAGAUAACAGAGCGCUGCAACUUUAAUAGCCAUCGGUUUCUCAGAAUUCAUGAUGAGCGGUCACACUCCAGCACAUUGCAAGCAUAAGAGCUGAGGUGGCUUCAUCCAGGAGUAGGAUCUUGGGAUCGCGUAUGAUUGCCCUGGCAAUGGCAAUGCGCUGCUUCUGACCACGAGAUAAUUGAGAACCCUGGGCACCCACGUUUGUGUCAUAUUUCUGAGCAGGAAAAUCAUACAGUUUUCUACAGAAGAAACAUUGAUGCUGGGCAGCUCUGAAACACGUUUGUGGCCAUGGCAGACUCGAAGAAAGCUCUCCUCGUUUUAUAUCCGGUCCCUGGCCCCAUGAGCAUUAUGAUUGAAUAUGACAAAACCGUUACCAUACAGCCUAACUUGCCAUGAAAAUUCCCACCGAAUGCUGAAAAGAGUCGGUCAGGAAGAUGCCAGUCAUUCUACAGAUCGCCUUCUAUUUUUUUUCCAUCAUUUCACAUUGCAGUGCGUUCACGCUGUUUUUGAUUUCGUUUAAAAAUGUGACCAGGCAUCCACGGAAAUCACAGCCUGUCAUAGUUGCCUAUCCCCACAUGUUAUCUCAUGUCCAUCCUAUUUUGUCCACAUUGCCCUGAAACGUUCAAGACACCAGCAUGUCGUUUAUGUAUUGCAAUUUGUGACAGGACCCAGGAAGUUGAGAGACCCAGAUUUGGCUAGAUGGCGCUCCCUCUCUUGACACAAAAACAUCACCAACAGAUUCUGACAUGUGACGGCUCUCCUCUCGGGCAGGUUGCAGCUUGAGAGUUUGUGCGGACAUGCAUUGACGUAUGCACUCAAAAUACCAUCAAUACAGUGACAUUGACCUGCAUUGACCUGUGACUUGCAGUGUGUAAAAGAAAUGUAUAUAUAUUGUGGAUGUGGUUGAAAAGGCACGGACCUAACACCGAAUACGUUUUUCUCUUCAUCUGCAUUGAUAUCCAUCCAUUCAUCUAUUUUCCGAUCCGCUUGUGCUCACAAGGAUCGCGGGCGGUGGUUGCUGGAGCCUUGCCCAGCUGUCUUCGGCAGUAGGCAAGGGACACCCUGAUCCUGUUGCCAGCCAAUCGCAGGGCACACAGAGACGAACAACCAUCCAAACUCAGACUCACACCUAGGGACAAUUUAGAUUGUUCAGUCAGCCUGCUAUGCAUGUUUUUGGAAUGUGGAAGGAAACCGCAGUACCCAGAGAAAACCCAUGCAGGCCUGGGGAGAACAUGCAAACUCCACGUAGCUGCAAUUUAACCCAGGACCUCUGCACUGUGAGGUCUACGUGGUAACCACUGGACCACCGGGCCGCCCAGCAUUGAUAUUAUAUUGAUUAUUGAAUCAUAAUCGUUUACAUCUGUGUCACAAAGCAUCUAAGACUCCAAGCAGUAAGUUAUCUCGACUAUUUACCUAAUUUCUUACUUGAAAAAAAAACUUUAGAAAUCAUUCACAUUCAAACAAAAUGAAUCCCUGUUUUUAACCUCUACACACACUGCUCCAAUCCGUCUUACAAUUCCACAGCU